UGGCCUCGCAGCCUUCAUUCCUUUACACGAGCUCGUGCCGAGGCAGUUCCAAGAUCCGUGUGGUUCGCGUCCGAAAAGCCUGAUGUAUUCGCUAAAAUCGUUCAAAAACCGCAGAAAAUCUUGUUAAAUCAACCGUCGCGACCCCCGGGUGACGCGUAUCGUGCGUGAGCGUGAGUUAAAGAUCCAGAGUCGUGUCUCGUGUGUGCGUGCGUGUGCAGAAGAACGAGGAAGAACGAGGUCACCGCGGCAGCAGAACCAGUGUGUGUGUGCUUGAAAAAAAUCACAGCCAGUAAUCACAGCCAGAAGUAAGCCAACCCAGCAGAAGCAGCAAGAUGUCUUUCGAGGAAACUUCCGCCGAUCGCAAUGUGGAGAUCUGGAAGAUCAAGAAGCUUAUCAAGAGCUUGGAGAUGGCCCGAGGAAAUGGCACCAGCAUGAUUUCGCUGAUCAUCCCGCCGAAGGACCAGAUCAGCCGGGUGAGCAAGAUGCUGGCGGACGAGUUCGGCACGGCGUCCAACAUCAAGUCCCGCGUGAACCGUCUGUCCGUGCUCGGUGCCAUCACCUCGGUCCAGCACCGGCUCAAACUAUACACCAAAGUGCCUCCGAAUGGACUCGUGAUCUACUGCGGUACGAUCGUCACCGAAGAGGGCAAAGAGAAGAAGGUCAACAUUGACUUUGAACCGUUCAAACCGAUCAAUACCUCUUUAUACUUAUGCGAUAAUAAAUUCCACACCGAAGCGCUGACGGCCCUGCUCGCGGACGACAAUAAGUUCGGUUUCAUCGUGAUGGACGGUAACGGUGCGCUGUUCGGUACACUUCAGGGCAACACCCGCGAGGUUCUGCACAAAUUCACCGUGGACCUGCCGAAGAAGCACGGCCGUGGUGGUCAGUCCGCGUUGCGUUUCGCGCGUCUGCGUAUGGAGAAGCGUCACAACUACGUGCGCAAGGUCGCCGAGGUGGCCACCCAGCUGUUCAUCACCAACGACAAGCCAAACAUUGCCGGCCUCAUCCUGGCCGGUAGUGCCGACUUCAAGACCGAGCUCAGCCAGUCGGACAUGUUCGAUCCGCGAUUGCAAUCGAAAGUGAUCAAACUGGUGGACGUGUCGUACGGCGGGGAGAACGGUUUUAACCAGGCCAUCGAGCUGGCAGCUGAAUCACUGCAGAACGUAAAGUUCAUCCAGGAGAAGAAACUGAUUGGGCGAUACUUUGACGAAAUUUCACAGGACACCGGCAAGUACUGCUUCGGCGUGGAGGACACGCUCAAGGCGCUGGAACUGGGCUCGGUCGAGACGCUGAUCUGCUGGGAGAACUUGGACAUUCAACGCUACGUGCUCAAGAACCACGUCAGUGCGACGUCCACAACAGUAUUGCACCUGACCCCGGAGCAGGAGAAGGACAAGUCGCACUUCACUGACAAGGAGAGUGGCGUCGAGAUGGAACUGGUCGAAUCUCAACCGCUGUUGGAAUGGCUCGCCAACAACUACAAGAGCUUCGGUGCUACUUUGGAAAUUAUCACUGACAAGUCCCAGGAGGGCAGCCAGUUUGUGCGAGGAUUUGGUGGAAUUGGAGGAAUUCUCCGCUACAAAGUCGACUUCCAGUCGCUCCAGGCCGACGAGCCGCUGGACGACGUUGACCUUGACGAUUACUAAAUCAAUUACGAUUCGGACAAACACUUUCUUGUGCUCUUUGAGGGACUACACGACGCGAGAAGCAGACACAACUUUCUAGGUACUCUUUCCAAACUUGUAAUCAGCCGAAAUGGUCGCGUUCCAAAAGCCGAUAAACUACUUAGAGAAACCAAACUGAGCAGAAAAUUUAUUAAAAAAAAACACCAGAUUACGCGGAAAAAAGUUAGUUUUGUGCAACCAAUUUCUCUCCAAUAACAAACAAACAAAAUACGAAAGCCACAUUCGAUUCGAUUUUAAUAAAGGUAAACAAGCAAACAAACAAGCAAAAAUCCGGAUAGCAAACAUCAAACACACAAAACACACCCACAACACAACUUACAAACAUGUAUGAAAUUAGUUAAUAUAAUCAGUAAAUUCUAUGCGGGCAAAAGCUGAUAAAAUGUGUUGAAAAACAGAAGUCGGUUCCGAGCCUACCGUGAGCAGCGUGUAUUUAGGUAAAAAGCGAACAAACCAAAAAAAAAACAUAAGGAAAAACUAUUUAUAUAAAUAUUGGCGGGCAUCUUCCGGGAGCGGCUCACACCACUUCCGGCGGAGCGCCUCGUUUUAUGCUGAUAUAUCAUUCAAGAAACAAACUAACAAACAAACAAAAAAUACCGUGUAUAAUAACAAUUGCAACUCGAAUUCGUCUCCAAACCGCGUAACAUUUGAACAAUGAAUAGUUGAGAGGGCGCGCGCGCGAGUCACAUUUCUUUGCCCUGCGAAAGAUUCGUUUUCUUUGCCAGCGAAUUUAGGUGUACUUGUACCGAAGUGUGAGGAGAGAAGCUUCCGUGAAACAUUUAGAACUUAGUACCAGAUACAGGAAAUAAUAGACGAGUAUCGAGAGGGGAGGAAAUUUAGAAACGACACAACAACACACUUAAAACUCACAAAUUCUUUCACGAAUCACACAAAUGACACACGGUUGACUUUUUUCAAUACAUUCGAACGUUGAGGCACCCCUGCACGCACAUCGCUACUGAUGGUUUUGAUAGGAAUAAGGUUGUUUGCGCUACAAGGUCGAUUUCCAAAGUAUGCAACUAGAUGAAUUGGACAACGAUGCUUUCGAUUUAGAGGAUUAUUAAAAUAUUUUUUUUAUGUUUAUGAAAGUAUCAGUUAUACAACAAACACAUACACACACACAGGUUAAAAAAUAUACAACAACAAAAGAGAAAAGACACUUCGGUGUGGAGCAAAAUCAUCCAGCUUUGUUUUGUUUUUUUCUUAUUUGUGUGAUGUAGAUGAAAAGAAACGAAGAAGACAACAUUUUCUGGCGCCCCCCUCUAGCUCGAAACGAUCGCCGGUCACCCAAGUCCGCCUUUUAGUCAGCAGUGGAUCGUUUUUGUCGAGCAGUUUUUUGACUAACCUAGAGAAUAAAGUAAAGAAGGUAGUGCACGUCCGUCGUCCAGCGCAAUAGAAGAAGUUAGGGAGAAAAAUAGAUCGCGGCUCCGUUUGACAAUUCCUAUCCCCUCAAACACGGUGAAACACUUUUUAAUUCGGUCCUACAUAAAGUAAGGGAUGUCACUACAAGUUUAAGUUAGUAAGAGAAAAGUUAUUCUGAGAAAGCAAAUCGUGAUCACGCGCGGCGCAGAAAUCUAGUACUAGAAGAAGAAAAAAAAAAAAGAGCUCCGUUUUAAAGUAGCACGCGUGCGGCAAAUUCCGGAAUUCAACCGAUUCCACCCACCCCGGGGGAGUGUCGUCACCUUCCAUCCGUUUGACCACAGAACCUUCGUGGGGAGGAACGGAUUGCCUUCGGUUAAUCAUUGUUCAAUUGUAACACACUCCUAGUAUACUUAAUAGAAGUUUUUGUUUUUCGUUUUUCAUUUGGCGGAUUAUUAUUGCUCUUAUUCCGGCUGACAACUUCACUUUAACUACUGCUUCAAGGCAAAGGGAACAGAAAUUCCGCAGAAAAAAAAAUGCAUCCCCUUAGAACGUAAAAACAACACAACCACACAAACACCUUUGUAUUAGUUGAGGAAAACUCGUUUUGACUACAGCCACAAAACUUUUAAAUUCACAUUCAAAUCAGAGAAAACCAGAAAAUUGUUAUUAUAUAUUAUAAAAAAAAAUAUUAUAAAAUGAUAUAUUACAUAAAAAGAAGAUAUUUAUAUAAAAAGGAAAUGAAAAAA
Culex quinquefasciatus (southern house mosquito) is the source of this 3790-nucleotide RNA transcript. It is a transcript of the gene named eukaryotic peptide chain release factor subunit 1, with no coding region annotated. NCBI's taxonomy places the organism in Eukaryota, Metazoa, Arthropoda, Insecta, Diptera, Culicidae. The transcript has 9 exons. The record is from RefSeq and is a predicted model, not a curated record.